AGGCAGCAGGCGCGCAAAUUACCCACUCCCGGCACGGGGAGGUAGUGACGAAAAAUAACGAUACGGGACUCAUCCGAGGCCCCGUAAUCGGAAUGAGUACACUCUAAACCCUUUAACGAGGAUCAAUUGGAGGGCAAGUCUGGUGCCAGCAGCCGCGGUAAUUCCAGCUCCAAUAGCGUAUAUUAAAGUUGUUGCGGUUAAAAAGCUCGUAGUCGAAUCUGUGUCUCGCGCCGCCGGUUCAUCGCUCGCGGUGUCUAACUGGCGUGCCGCGGGACGUCCUGCCGGUGGGCUUUGCCUCUCGGGGCGGCCCAACUUAGAAUCCCACCGCGGUGCUCUUCGCUGAGUGUCGAGGUGGGCCGGCACGUUUACUUUGAACAAAUUAGAGUGCUUAAAGCAGGCUAAAACUUCGCCUGAAUAUUCUGUGCAUGGAAUAAUGGAAUAGGACCUCGGUUCUAUUUUGUUGGUUUUCGGAACCCCGAGGUAAUGAUUAAUAGGAACGGAUGGGGGCAUUCGUAUUGCGACGUUAGAGGUGAAAUUCUUGGAUCGUCGCAAGACGAACAGAAGCGAAAGCAUUUGCCAAAAACGUUUUCAUUGAUCAAGAACGAAAGUUAGAGGUUCGAAGGCGAUCAGAUACCGCCCUAGUUCUAACCAUAAACGAUGCCAGCUAGCGAUCCGCCGACGUUCCUCCGAUGACUCGGCGGGCAGCAGAAGCGAAAGCAUUUGCCAAAAACGUUUUCAUUGAUCAAGAACGAAAGUUAGAGGUUCGAAGGCGAUCAGAUACCGCCCUAGUUCUAACCAUAAACGAUGCCAGCUAGCGAUCCGCCGACGUUCCUCCGAUGACUCGGCGGGCAGCUUCCGGGAAACCAAAGCUUUUGGGUUCCGGGGGAAGUAUGGUUGCAAAGCUGAAACUUAAAGGAAUUGACGGAAGGGCACCACCAGGAGUGGAGCCUGCGGCUUAAUUUGACUCAACACGGGAAACCUCACCAGGCCCGGACACCGGAAGGAUUGACAGAUUGAGAGCUCUUUCUUGAUUCGGUGGGUGGUGGUGCAUGGCCGUUCUUAGUUGGUGGAGCGAUUUGUCUGGUUAAUUCCGAUAACGAACGAGACUCUAGCCUGCUAACUAGGCGUAUUUUCGACAUCUCAAAGGCCCCACGGCCCGGCGCUCGCGUCGGUGCCGCGCGCGGUUUUUACUGUCGGCGUACAUUCAAUUCUUCUUAGAGGGACAGGCGGCGUCUAGCCGCACGAGAUUGAGCAAUAACAGGUCUGUGAUGCCCUUAGAUGUUCUGGGCCGCACGCGCGCUACACUGAAGGAAUCAGCGUGUCCUCCCUGGCCGAGAGGCCCGGGUAACCCGCUGAACCUCCUUCGUGCUAGGGAUUGGGGCUUGCAAUUGUUCCCCAUGAACGAGGAAUUCCCAGUAAGCGCGAGUCAUAAGCUCGCGUUGAUUACGUCCCUGCCCUUUGUACACACCGCCCGUCGCUACUACCGAUUGAAUGAUUUAGUGAGGUCUUCGGAUCGGUACGCGGUGGCGCUCC
RNAcentral lists this ribosomal RNA (1533 nucleotides) under Dactylosternum abdominale. RNAcentral's name for it is "SSU rRNA". It matches the Rfam family "Eukaryotic small subunit ribosomal RNA", at positions 423 to 1734 of the family's 1831-position model. The record is from RNAcentral. Lineage: Eukaryota; Metazoa; Arthropoda; Insecta; Coleoptera; Hydrophilidae.